This is a non-coding RNA of Danio rerio (zebrafish), 299 nucleotides long. NCBI's taxonomy places the organism in Eukaryota, Metazoa, Chordata, Actinopteri, Cypriniformes, Danionidae. The record is from RefSeq and is a predicted model, not a curated record.
CUCCGCCCACACACACGUUUCUUCCUGGUGGUUUUACGAAGGAAAAGAGAACCUUCAGCAUGCAGGAGGAUGAAGAGACACACAUCAGGAGGAGGAGGAAGAUGAUGAACUGAAGAAAGAGAAGCAGAUCAACAUGAGCAGCAUAAUAACAUGAAGAUCAGCAACAUCAGAAAUGAACAGAGAUGAUGUUCAGCUGAUGAAGAGCAGAAGAUCAACAUGAGCAGCAGAGAGAGCAGAGCCGUUGAACACAGUCCUGCUCUCAAAAGAAGUCGAAGCAAAGAACUAGAGCCUCCUGACUG